Molecule: ribosomal RNA, 458 nt
Filed under: uncultured marine microorganism
Description: bacterial SSU rRNA
Rfam family: Bacterial small subunit ribosomal RNA
Source: RNAcentral
GGGGAAUUUUCCGCAAUGGGCGAAAGCCUGACGGAGCAAUACCGCGUGAGGGAGGAAUGCCUUUGGGUUGUAAACCUCUUUUCUCAGGGAAGAAGAUCUGACGGUACCUGAGGAAUAAGUAUCGGCUAACUCCGUGCCAGCAGCCGCGGUAAUACGGAGGAUGCAAGCGUUAUCCGGAAUUAUUGGGCGUAAAGCGUCCGCAGGUGGUUUCCAAAGUCUGCUGUUAAAGACUGGAGCUCAACUCCGGAACGGCGGUGGAAACUUGGAAACUAGAGUUCGGUAGGGGUAGCAGGAAUUCCCAGUGUAGCGGUGAAAUGCGUAGAUAUUGGGAAGAACAUCGGUGGCGAAGGCGUGCUACUGGACCGUAACUGACACUCAGGGACGAAAGCUAGGGGAGCGAAAGGGAUUAGAUACCCCUGUAGUCCUAGCUGUAAACGAUGGAAACUAGGUGUGGCUUG